UAAAAACUCCCUCCUGUUCCAUGGUCCCCAACAAUUUCCUUAUAACAAAAAGGAUCCUGCGGAAAUCUUUGGACUUUUGCUGGGGGUGGGGAGAAAUUGGAAAGGUUUUAUUUCUAAAAUAUCACCGCUGAUGACUAGAGAUGGGGGCACAGCUGGACUUAAUGAGGGUCCCGUCUCUGGAGCCAGACGGUCCACUCAUGUGUCCGGCUGCGGCCUUGCUCAUCCUUCCAAUCACACCCGGAGUGCCGCUCGGCUAGCGAGGCUGCCACCACCACUGGACACGUGAGUGGACGGUCUGGCCCCAGGGGCUAGACCCUUGUUAGGACCCUUGUAUGUGGAUAUUCAUAUUCGUAUACAAAUACCCCCAUCUCUACUGAUGACAUAAUCAGUCUAAUAUGACACUGCUAUUCAAACAGGAUUUCAGCCACUAUAUACAAGGCAUCAAACAACACAAGUCUUGUUGAAACCAUGGAAAUGCAUCUAAUAAUAAAUAAUAUCUAUCAAGUGCAUAAAAAAUUAAGUUCUGUACAAAAUAUGCUAAUAGUACAAUUCUCAUAUCUGAUCACAGGUACACCACAUUGAGUCCAGUAGUUCUUACUCCUGGACAGUAAGUAUUGGAUGACAACCUAAAUAAUUUAAUGGCCUUGCAGUCAAAUUUAGAGGGAAGCAUCAGCUACUAAAGAAAAAAAGUGGGGCGGGGAGGGAAAACUGCAGUAUAUAAUAAGCAACAAAACAGAGAACAGAAAGGAAAACAGAGAAAUCAGAGAGGAAGCACCACUUAAGAGAAUGAGUACAGUUCAGUGUCUUCUGAUCCAGACUCCUUGGACCAGAACUACGAAGCUACAGUCUAAAGCCAUCCUAAAAGGUAAGGAAAGUGUUAGCCUCUCCACACAACUUUUUAAAUUAUGUUACAUUCAUUUUCAAAUGGCUAAUUUUGCUUUUUCACCCAAGAUGCACCACAUGUUCUUGCAGAACAAGAUACAGAGAUUUAAUUUGUCAAGACUAUAGAAAAGAGUCUCAGAGAACAUGAGGAAGAAUGCAAUUCAAAGGAGCCUCUAAUAGAUAGGAUCAUGCUGGCUGAUACUUACAGGACUUGUCACACAAGGCAUGUGUAGGAAGACAGGCUGCAGAAUACCAUUUUAUGAGAUGGGUGAAGUGAAAAACUUUGAAGAGACAUCUAAGAUACAAGCAGAGGUCAAAUACACGGUCCAGGAACAGGAGCCUGGGAUACAAAUUGUAGGCUUUCGGCCAUGCUUGGACUCAACGUUUUAGCCUCUUACCAUCAGAACCAUAGCUAUUACGCUGGAAGGCAUGGUUAAGCUGAAUUUUGCACCACUACCCUUCUCUAAAGUUAGUGUAUUUACACGGUGCCACUUCCCAGCAUGGCACCUUACCCUUACUUCAUCACUGUACUAAUAAUCGUUUUGAUGAGUAAAUGUUGUUUAUGUAUUGCUGAGCCAUUGACUUGUAUAGGUCAGCAGCCAGAUGCCAUGCUGAACACCAUCCCAUGAUAAUGUAUGCUGAUGAUGUCAAUUUCCUUGUAAUUUCCUUUCCACCCCACCCCCAUUCCCACACCUCUCAGGAGACAGCCAGUAC
Pogona vitticeps (central bearded dragon) is the source of this 1596-nucleotide long non-coding RNA. Lineage: Eukaryota; Metazoa; Chordata; Lepidosauria; Squamata; Agamidae. The record is from Ensembl.